GAUGAACGCUAGCUACAGGCUUAACACAUGCAAGUCGAGGGGUAACGAGAGGAAAGCUUGCUUUCCUUGUCGACGACCGGCGCACGGGUGAGUAACGCGUAUCCAACCUGCCCCCAACUAGGGAAUAACCUUGCGACAGUAAGACUAAUACCCUAUAAUUUCCUCAGAUGUCAUCUGACGAGGAAUAAAGAUUUAUCGGUUGUGGAUGGGGAUGCGUCUGAUUAGCUUGUUGGCGGGGUAACGGCCCACCAAGGCAACGAUCAGUAGGGGUUAUGAGAGGAAGGUCCCCCACAUUGGAACUGAGACACGGUCCAAACUCCUACGGGAGGCAGCAGUGAGGAAUAUUGGUCAAUGGGCGGAAGCCUGAACCAGCCAAGUAGCGUGCAGGAUGACGACCCUAUGGGUUGUAAACUGCUUUUAUACAGGAAUAAAGUUAGCCACGUGUGGUUAUUUGUAGGUACUGUAUGAAUAAGGACCGGCUAAUUCCGUGCCAGCAGCCGCGGUAA
Molecule: ribosomal RNA, 506 nt
Filed under: uncultured bacterium
Lineage: Bacteria
Description: partial 16S ribosomal RNA
Rfam family: Bacterial small subunit ribosomal RNA
Source: RNAcentral